AGAUUGAACGCUGGCGGCAUGCUUUACACAUGCAAGUCGAACGGCAGCACGGGGGCAACCCUGGUGGCGAGUGGCGAACGGGUGAGUAAUAUAUCGGAACGUACCCGGAAAUGGGGGAUAACGUAGCGAAAGUUACGCUAAUACCGCAUAUGCCCUGAGGGGGAAGCGGGGGAUUCGUAAGAGCCUCGCGUUUUCGGAGCGGCCGAUAUCGGAUUAGCUAGUAGGUGAGGUAAAGGCUCACCUAGGCGACGAUCCGUAGCUGGUCUGAGAGGACGACCAGCCACACUGGAACUGAGACACGGUCCAGACUCCUACGGGAGGCAGCAGU
Molecule: ribosomal RNA, 328 nt
Filed under: uncultured soil bacterium
Lineage: Bacteria
Description: bacterial SSU rRNA
Rfam family: Bacterial small subunit ribosomal RNA
Source: RNAcentral